AGCGACGACGAUGACGGUUACACUGAGGCACUAAUGCGGGGCUUUAAAGGAAUAAAAAGGAAAGAGCUGAUGACAGGCUUAGAAAGCAACAGAAGAAGAGACCAAGAUGAAGGAGUCUGAGCUAAUGCGAGGAAACCCGCUGAUCAAUAUGAAUAACUUCUGCUCCUUCGACGUGGAAGUAACAAUGCUGCCUACUAUAUUAUAUUGGUCAUGGAGAGACCAAGACACCGAAACGGUUCAUCAACUACACCGUCAUAAGUGAUUUCCACCGCAAGUUUCUGCAUAGGUACUAUGCCUCCUGCCUAGUGAGCUGCAGGUCUUCUUCCCCCAUCACCUGCAGGCAUUGACGACCACCAUGGCCUGCUGGAGCUCCUGCUCAGGUGAUGA
Molecule: long non-coding RNA, 387 nt
Organism: Triticum dicoccoides
Lineage: Eukaryota; Viridiplantae; Streptophyta; Magnoliopsida; Poales; Poaceae
Exons: 4
Source: RefSeq, a predicted model, not a curated record